UACGUAGGGUGCGAGCGUUGUCCGGAAUCACUGGGCGUAAAGGGCGCGUAGGCGGCCUGAUAAGUAGGGGGUGAAAUCCUGAGGCUUAACCUCAGGGCUGCCUUCUAAACUGUCGGGCUCGAGCACAGUAGAGGCAGGUGGAAUUCCCGGUGUAGCGGUGGAAUGCGUAGAGAUCGGGAAGAACAUCAGUGGCGAAGGCGGCCUGCUGGGCUGUUGCUGACGCUGAGGCGCGACAGCGUGGGGAGCAAACAGG
RNAcentral lists this ribosomal RNA (253 nucleotides) under uncultured bacterium. RNAcentral's name for it is "partial 16S ribosomal RNA". It matches the Rfam family "Bacterial small subunit ribosomal RNA", at positions 524 to 776 of the family's 1533-position model. The record is from RNAcentral.